GGAGGAGUACCCAAGUGGCUGAAGGGUCUGGCUUCGAACACCAGUAGGUCGGCAGUACCGGCGCAAGGGUUCAAAUCCCUUCUCCUCCGC
RNAcentral lists this transfer RNA (90 nucleotides) under uncultured Roseburia sp. RNAcentral's name for it is "tRNA-Ser(cga)". It matches the Rfam family "tRNA". From Rfam's summary of the family: Transfer RNA (tRNA) molecules are approximately 80 nucleotides in length. Their secondary structure includes four short double-helical elements and three loops (D, anti-codon, and T loops). Further hydrogen bonds mediate the characteristic L-shaped molecular structure. tRNAs have two regions of fundamental functional importance: the anti-codon, which is responsible for specific mRNA codon recognition, and the 3' end, to which the tRNAs corresponding amino acid is attached (by aminoacyl-tRNA synthetases). tRNAs cope with the degeneracy of the genetic code in two manners: having more than one tRNA (with a specific anti-codon) for a particular amino acid; and 'wobble' base-pairing, i.e. permitting non-standard base-pairing at the 3rd anti-codon position. Lineage: Bacteria; Bacillati; Bacillota; Clostridia; Lachnospirales; Lachnospiraceae. The record is from RNAcentral.